RNAcentral lists this ribosomal RNA (514 nucleotides) under uncultured Sphingobacterium sp. Its description in RNAcentral is "bacterial SSU rRNA". It matches the Rfam family "Bacterial small subunit ribosomal RNA", at positions 9 to 513 of the family's 1533-position model. The record is from RNAcentral. Lineage: Bacteria; Pseudomonadati; Bacteroidota; Sphingobacteriia; Sphingobacteriales; Sphingobacteriaceae.
GAGUUUGAUCUUGGCUCAGGAUGAACGCUAGCGGCAGGCUUAAUACAUGCAAGUCGUGGGGCAGCAUGACUGUAGCAAUACAGUUGAUGGCGACCGGCAAACGGGUGCGGAACACGUACACAACCUUCCUUUAAGUGGGGGAUAGCCCAGGGAAACUUGGAUUAAUACCCCGUAAUAUAUAGAGACGGCAUCGUUUUUAUAUUAUAGCAGCAAUGCGCUUGAAGAUGGGUGUGCGGCUGAUUAGAUAGUUGGCGGGGUAACGGCCCACCAAGUCGACGAUCAGUAACUGGUGUGAGAGCACGACCAGUCACACGGGCACUGAGACACGGGCCCGACUCCUACGGGAGGCAGCAGUAAGGAAUAUUGGUCAAUGGACGCAAGUCUGAACCAGCCAUGCCGCGUGGAGGAUGAAGGUCCUCUGGAUUGUAAACUUCUUUUAUCUGGGAAGAAAAAGGGAAUUCUUUCCCGUCUGACGGUACCAGAUGAAUAAGCACCGGCUAACUCCGUGCCAGCA